AGCGCUGCACCGGGCCGGGCCGGGCCGCAUCGCGCCGCGCCGGUUGAGCGGCGGCAGCGCAGCGCAGCGCAGCCCCGCCCCGCGCGGCCUCGCCGGCCGCCAUGUUCGCGGCGCCGCUGCGCCGGGCCGGCAGGUGUGUGUUUCUGAAGGGGAGCGUGACCAUGGCCACAGGGGGGAAAAGCAGCGAGCCCAGUGUCCCUCGUUACACCAACCGCCUGAUUAAUGAGAAGUCCCCCUACCUCCUCCAGCAUGCUCACAACCCCGUGGAUUGGUACCCUUGGGGCCACGAAGCCUUUGAUAAAGCAAAGAAAGAAAACAAGCUGAUAUUUCUGUCAGUUGGCUACUCCACCUGCCACUGGUGCCAUGUGAUGGAGGAGGAAUCCUUCAAGAACAAGGAGAUCGGUGAGAUUAUGAACAAGAACUUUGUGUGCAUAAAAGUGGAUCGUGAGGAGCGGCCAGAUGUGGACAAAGUGUACAUGACCUUUGUGCAGGCAACCAGCGGUGGAGGUGGUUGGCCGAUGAGCGUCUGGCUGACUCCGGACCUCAAGCCCUUUGCAGGGGGGACGUACUUCCCUCCUGAAGAUAGAGUUUACCGCGUUGGCUUUCGGACUGUGCUGCUCCGAAUCGCAGAGCAGUGGAAGCACAACAAAGAUGCUCUGUUGGAGAACAGUCAGAAGAUCAUGGAAGCACUCCUAACCCAGGCUGAGAUCCAUGGCCAGGCCCAGGAGUCACCCCCACCAUCCGAAGAGGUGAUGGCCACGUGUUUCCAUCAGCUCUCCAAGUCCUAUGAUGAAGAGUAUGGCGGCUUUUCAGAGUUCCCAAAGUUCCCCACCCCAGUGAAUUUGAAUUUCCUCUUCACGUACUGGGCCCUGCACCGAACAACUCCAGAAGGGGCCCGGGCACUGCGGAUGGCCCUCCACACCCUCAAGAUGAUGGCCCAUGGGGGCAUUCACGACCACAUCGGUCAGGGGUUUCACCGCUACUCCACUGACCAGCACUGGCAUGUCCCUCACUUUGAGAAGAUGCUGUAUGACCAGGGACAGCUGGCAGCCGCAUAUACCAGAGCAUUUCAGAUCUCUGGUGACGAAUUCUUUGCUGAUGUCGCUGGAGAUAUUCUGCUCUACGUCUCCCGGGACCUGAGUGACCAGACCGGAGGUUUCUACAGCGCAGAGGAUGCGGACUCCUAUCCGACCGCCACGUCUGGAGAGAAGCGAGAAGGGGCGUUCUGCGUGUGGACAGCCGAGGAAAUCCGGGCCCUCCUUCCUGACCCUGUCGAGGGGGCUGCAGAAGGGACAACUCUGGGAGAUGUCUUCAUGCACCACUAUGGGGUGAAGGAGGGCGGCAACGUGAGCCCCAUGAAGGACCCGCAUAAGGAGCUGAAGGGCAAGAACGUCCUUAUUGUCCAGUCCUCCCUGGAGCUGACGGCAGCCCAGUUUGGGCUGGAGCUGGGGCGGCUCAGUGCCCUGCUGCGGGAGAGCCGGCAGAGGCUGUCUGCAGCUCGGGCCCAGCGGCCGCGGCCUCACCUGGACACCAAGAUGUUGGCAUCGUGGAACGGACUGAUGAUCUCAGGCUUUGCCCAGGCUGGGGCAGCCCUGGCCAAGGAGGAGUACGUGAGCCGGGCUGUGCAAGCGGCCAGCUUUCUGCGGAGACACCUUUUCGACCCCACUAGUGGGAGGCUGCUGCGGAGCUGCUACCGGGGCAAAGACAACACGGUGGAGCAGAGUGCCGUGCCCAUCCAAGGCUUCCUGGAGGAUUACGUCUUUGUCAUCCAGGCUCUCUUUGACCUGUACGAGGCCUCGCUGGACCAGGGCUGGCUGGAGUGGGCCUUGCAGCUCCAGCACACGCAAGACAAGCUCUUCUGGGAUCCCAAAGGCUUUGCGUAUUUCUCCAGCGAGGCCGGCGACCCCUCUCUGCUCCUCCGCCUGAAGGACGACCAAGACGGAGCAGAGCCCAGCGCCAACUCUGUCACUGUCACGAACCUGCUCCGAGCAGCCUGUUAUUCUGGCCACAUGGAGUGGGUGGAAAAAGCUGGGCGGAUCUUGGCUGCCUUCUCAGAGAGGUUGCUGAAGAUCCCGAUAGCCCUGCCAGAGAUGGCCCGCGCUAGCGCUGCCUUCCAUCACACCCUCAAACAGGUUGUUAUCUGUGGGGACCCGCAAGGACAAGACACGAAAGAUCUGCUUCGCUGCGUCCACUCUGUCUUCUGCCCAAACAAGGUGCUGAUGCUGGCCGACGGCGACACCACCGCCUUCCUCUACCGCCGGCUGCCCUUCCUGGCUUCCCUGGAGAGGAGGGACGGCAAAGCCACGGCCUACGUCUGCAGCAACUUCGCCUGCUCCCUGCCCAUCACCUCGCCCCGGGAGCUGCGCGGGAUGCUCGUCCCGUGAGCCAGCGCCGCCCUGGCCCCCCGCCGCCGGCAGCGGUGCCCACCACCCCAGCAGCUAUAAGAGCAGGGAGAUGGUGCACCUACACCAUGUUUGGGGCUGUUGGGCCUCCCCGCCGGGGCAGGGUUGCUCAGCAGGCCCCUAAGCUCUGCAGCUCCGGCGGGAGCAUCCCGGCUCCUGCUGCGCCCCGGAGGAGGAUGUUUGGCUCGAGGAGGCCGGCGCGGGUGGGUGAGAAGGAGGAUGCUGCCCAUAACGACGCAGAUCCCUUUGGCAGAGCAUAAACUCUGCUCUCCCUCCCGUCCCUCCUCCCCGUCUGCACGGCCGCUUGCCGUGCCGUCGAGCUGCCCCGAAAGGCGUCGGGCGCCUGGCCGGCGCGGUGCUGCGAGCGGGGAGCCUCGAGGUGCCGAGAGCUUGCCAGCGGCUCCGCCAGCGCCGGGGCGCCGGGCCAGGAGAGGAGCCUUUGAAGCCGCGCAGGAAUCUCGCACCUCAUCUCGGGAAUACUUUCUGCGCUGGUGGAAGAGGAGAGUUUCUCUUUAUUUUUCCUUCCCCCUUUGUUUUAAAAGCCGAAGCGUUUCUGGAAACUCAGCCGAAAACUGCUGGCUCGGGCAGCUGGCUGCAUUCCCGUUCCUUCCUUUCACCUCGGCACCUUCGGGAUUAAUCCGGCGCCCCGGCCCGAGACCUCUCGGCCCGAGACGCCCCGUGCGCCGUGCGGGGAUGGCCGGUCUCACGCACCCGCGUGCUCCUUGCCGCCUCUCCGUAGGCAGCCGCCGGGCAAAGCUCCCCUGUAAACAGGCUGUCAGGAUUAAUUGAGCUGACCCAUUAAAAAAAAAAACAAAAACCAAGUUCUCUGCAAUAAAUAAAGUAGUGGCACCUCGGUGCUCCCCGCGGCAGGGAGCCAGCCGGCCCGGUCCUCGCGGCUCGGCCGCGGGAGCCGUCGCUGCCCGCGGGGCACCGGCUACGCUCGCCCUGCGGCCCGUCUUCCCGCGUUACUUCUCCUGCCACGAACUCACCCGUUUCACUGCAAAUCAGGCUGAUUUGCUGAAACUGUUGUUUUCCGCCCUGCGCUUGUCGGCACAAUUAAAUCAGGGCCCCGCUGACAGCCGCGGCGAGGAGUGGCCACGUGAGAAGCUGCCGUGUGCUGGCUCGGGCGCCCGCAGGGAACUGGUGAGCCCACUUUCCACGUGGAUCGGUGCCAGGUGCCCGGGCGGGCAGCGGCGGCACUGGGACACAGCCGGGACCCCAGUGACUCGCUCCCUGCCUCGGUUUCCCCAGCCGCGGAGGGAGAGCGAGGGCUCAGCACGGUGCGAGCGGCGCCGAGCACCUCGCCGUCCUCCCUGCUGCUGCGGCACGUGCCCCACGGUGCAAUCGGGGUCUCUCGGCACCAGGCUUUCCCGCAUGCCAGACUUGUGUUUUCUCACCCAAUUUCGGCACCGGCGUGCCUGCUGGGCUCAUUGCGGGUCUGGUACUCUUGGACGCCCUCCUCCCGCGCGGGCGUGCCGCAAGUCGGGGCCAUCAGCGCUUAUUUAGCCUUAUGCACUGGGCACUUGGCUGUUACGUGGCUAUAAAUCCUCCUUUAAUACGGUUUGGGUAUUUACUGAGCACGGUAACUAUUGCAUUAAAUCUAAAUUAUAUGGGUGUUUUGGA
Dromaius novaehollandiae (emu) is the source of this 4025-nucleotide RNA transcript. It is a transcript of the gene named spermatogenesis associated 20, with no coding region annotated. The transcript is spliced from 19 exons. Lineage: Eukaryota; Metazoa; Chordata; Aves; Casuariiformes; Dromaiidae. The record is from RefSeq and is a predicted model, not a curated record.